This 561-nucleotide ribosomal RNA is filed under the name Ascomycota sp. ARIZ OCAsh1-7. Its description in RNAcentral is "eukaryotic LSU rRNA". The stretch from base 237 to 390 matches the Rfam family "5.8S ribosomal RNA". The record is from RNAcentral. Lineage: Eukaryota; Fungi; Ascomycota.
AGUCGUAACAAGGUCUCCGUUGGUGAACCAGCGGAGGGAUCAUUGAUGGAAUAAACGCCCUCACAGGCGCUACCCAUAAACCCUUUGUGAAUACUACCUAAAAAUGUUGCCUCGGCAUUGGUUGGCCUCUUUUGGAGGUCCCUUCUCUUUAGGGGGAAGGAGCAGACCGGCCGGUGGCCCUAUAAACUCUUUGUUUUUUGUAAUAUCAUCUGAGUAAAACAACUAAAAUGAAUCAAAACUUUCAACAACGGAUCUCUUGGUUCUGGCAUCGAUGAAGAACGCAGCGAAAUGCGAUAAGUAAUGUGAAUUGCAGAAUUCAGUGAAUCAUCGAAUCUUUGAACGCACAUUGCGCCCGGUGGUAUUCCACCGGGCAUGCCUGUUCGAGCGUCAUUUCAACCCUCAAAGCCCUUGGCUUUGGUGUUGGAGGAAUACCCUGUAAAACGGGUACCCUCUGAAAUUUAGUGGCGGGCUCGCUAGAAUUUUGAGCGUAGUAAUUUUACCUCGUUUUUAAAGACUAGUGGGACUUCUUGCCGUAAAACCCCCCCAACUUUCUGAAAAUGA